CAUCAUUGGUCUAGUGGUAGAAUACAACGUUGCCAUCGUUGUGACCCGAGUUCGAUUCUCGGAUGAUGCA
Molecule: transfer RNA, 70 nt
Filed under: Perkinsus olseni
Lineage: Eukaryota; Perkinsozoa; Perkinsida; Perkinsidae
Rfam family: tRNA
About the family: Transfer RNA (tRNA) molecules are approximately 80 nucleotides in length. Their secondary structure includes four short double-helical elements and three loops (D, anti-codon, and T loops).
Source: Rfam by way of RNAcentral